RNAcentral lists this ribosomal RNA (506 nucleotides) under uncultured bacterium. RNAcentral's name for it is "partial 16S ribosomal RNA". It matches the Rfam family "Bacterial small subunit ribosomal RNA", at positions 28 to 523 of the family's 1533-position model. The record is from RNAcentral.
GAUGAACGCUAGCUACAGGCUUAACACAUGCAAGUCGAGGGGUAACGAGAGGAAAGCUUGCUUUCCUUGUUGACGACCGGCGCACGGGUGAGUAACGCGUAUCCAACCUGCCCCCAACUAGGGAAUAACCUUGCGAAAGUAAGACUAAUACCCUAUAAUUUCCUCAGAUGUCAUCUGACGAGGAAUAAAGAUUUAUCGGUUGUGGAUGGGGAUGCGUCUGAUUUGCUUGUUGGCGGGGUAACGGCCCACCAAGGCAACGAUCAGUAGGGGUUUUGAGAGGAAGGUCCCCAGCAUUGGAACGGAGACACGGUCCAAACUCCUACGGGAGGCAGCAGUGAGGAAUAUUGGUCAAUGGGCGGAAGCCUGAACCAGCCAAGUAGCGUGCAGGAUGACGGCCCUAUGGGUUGUAAACUGCUUUUAUACAGGAAUAAAGUUAGCCACGUGUGGUUAUUUGUAGGUACUGUAUGAAUAAGGACCGGCUAAUUCCGUGCCAGCCGCCGCCGUAA